RNAcentral lists this ribosomal RNA (466 nucleotides) under uncultured bacterium. RNAcentral describes it as "partial 16S ribosomal RNA". It matches the Rfam family "Bacterial small subunit ribosomal RNA", at positions 28 to 507 of the family's 1533-position model. The record is from RNAcentral.
GACGAACGCUGGCGGCGUGCUUAACACAUGCAAGUCGAACGGAAAGGCCCUGCUUGCAGGGUACUCGAGUGGCGAACGGGUGAGUAACACGUGGGUGAUCUGCCCUGCACUUCGGGAUAAGCCUGGUAAACUGGGUCUAAUACCGGAUAGGAGCCAUUUUUAGUGUGAUGGUUGGAAAGUUUUUUUCGGUGUAGGAUGAGCUCGCGGCCUAUCAGCUUGUUGGUGGGGUAAUGGCCUACCAAGGCGGCGACGGGGAGCCGGCCUGAGGGGGUGGACGGCCACAGUGGGACUGAGAUACGGCCCAGACUCCUACGGGAGGCAGCAGUGGGGAAUAUUGCACAAUGGGCGCAAGCCUGAUGCAGCGACGCCGCGUGGGGGAUGACGGCCUUCGGGUUGUAAACUCCUUUCGCUAGGGACGAAGCUUUUUGUGACGGUACCUAGAUAAGAAGCACCGGCUAACUACGUG